AAGUUGUCGGAAUCGAACAAAAAAUGGAUGGGUAGGGUCGGAAUUAUAUUCCGACUAAACUGCCCUUCUGGAGCGAUCGGAAAAAGUGGCCGGAAAGGCUCUCACGCGCCGGCGCGUGGGCGUCACGCGCCGAGGGUCCUGCCGCGCGUGGGGGCGCGUGAAGCGUCGGUUUCCGGGGAUUUUUUCUGGGGUUGGUCGGAAUUCUCUCCCAAACCUCGUGGUGGUCUCGGAUUUUGCACAACACCAACAGAAAAGGUAGUUUAGGUUACGGACNNNNN
This 278-nucleotide long non-coding RNA is filed under the name Nicotiana benthamiana. Its description in RNAcentral is "long non-coding RNA (NBEN_LNC012589)". Lineage: Eukaryota; Viridiplantae; Streptophyta; Magnoliopsida; Solanales; Solanaceae. The record is from RNAcentral.